RNAcentral lists this non-coding RNA (52 nucleotides) under unclassified sequences. RNAcentral's name for it is "mini-ykkC.2008-01-16 RNA". It matches the Rfam family "Guanidine-II riboswitch aptamer (mini-ykkC)". Rfam says of the family: Simpler in structure and has fewer highly conserved nucleotide positions than the ykkC-yxkD leader. Despite this each of its two stem-loop structures directly bind free guanidine. The record is from RNAcentral.
CGCGGGGACGACCCUGCGGCUCAAUCGAGUUUUCAAUCUGGGGACGGCCCCG